AAUAUUGGACAAUGGGCGCAAGCCUGAUCCAGCAAUGCCGCGUGUGUGAAGAAGGUCUNCGGAUUNUNAAGCACUUUAAGUUGGGNGGAAGGGUUGUAGGUUAAUACACUGCAAUUUUGACGUUACCAACAGAAUAAGCACCGGCUAACUUCGUGCCAGCAGCCGCGGUAAUACAGAGGGUGCAAGCGUUAAUCGGAAUUACUGGGCGGAAAGCGCUGGUAGGUGGUUCAGUAAGAUGGAAAUGAAAUCCCCGGGCUUAACCUGGGAACUGCUUUCAUAACUGCUGAGCUAGAGUACGGUAGAGGGUAGUGGAAUUUCCUGUGUAGCGGUGAAAUGCGUAGAUAUAGGAAGGAACACCAGUGGCGAAGGCGACCACCUGGGCUAAUACUGACACUGAGGUGCGAAAGCGUGGGGAGCAAACAGG
Molecule: ribosomal RNA, 424 nt
Filed under: uncultured bacterium
Lineage: Bacteria
Description: partial 16S ribosomal RNA
Rfam family: Bacterial small subunit ribosomal RNA
Source: RNAcentral